CGAAGGGGGCUAGCGUUGCUCGGAAUUACUGGGCGUAAAGGGAGCGUAGGCGGGUUAUCAAGUUGGAGGCGAAAGCCCAGGGCUCAACCUUGGAAUUGCCUUCAAAACUGAUAACCUAGAGGAUGAUAGAGGUAAGUGGAACUCCGAGUGUAGAGGUGAAAUUCGUAGAUAUUCGGAAGAACACCAGUGGCGAAGGCGACUUACUGGAUCAUUACUGACGCUGAGGCUCGAAAGCGUGGGGAGCAAACAGGAUUAGAUACCCUGGUAGUCCACGCCGUAAACGAUGAUUGCUAGUUGUCAGCCGGCAUGCCGGUUGGUGACGCAGCUAACGCAUUAAGCAAUCCGCCUGGGGAGUACGGUCGCAAGAUUA
Molecule: ribosomal RNA, 370 nt
Filed under: uncultured organism
Description: bacterial SSU rRNA
Rfam family: Bacterial small subunit ribosomal RNA
Source: RNAcentral